Molecule: ribozyme, 117 nt
Filed under: Aedes aegypti (yellow fever mosquito)
Lineage: Eukaryota; Metazoa; Arthropoda; Insecta; Diptera; Culicidae
Description: drz-agam-1 ribozyme
Rfam family: drz-agam-1 ribozyme
Source: Rfam by way of RNAcentral
UGCCCAGCAACUCCUAUCCCUACCUCCUCGCGGUACUGGCCGGUGUACGAGUAACCUUAGGGAAGAUCGGGUAACCAACCCCCGGUGGGAACUUUGGUCGUAUGCUGACAGGGAAGG